GGGGAUGACACGGCUUCGACGGGUGGUAAACGCGCGGCGGGCUGUCCUUCCGAGCUGCCUAAUAUGCUCGUUAAUCUCGUUAGGAACUUGUAAAUGCGGACGAUUACACGUACGCGAUGGCGGCGUAACAGCCCCCAUCUGUCUCCUGUCAGGCUUGUCUGUCGGUUUGCCUGAGACAUCAUAUUAGACAGAAUAGCUACACCUAUUCCGGCUGGAUGGACUGUGGUGAACCUUGAUCAGCCUUGGCACUCCUCUGGCCUCGUGGUUUGGCUGGAGAGGAGCCGCGACAUUGAAAUAGAACCACUAUGAAGGUAGAUGCUCGACACGAGCGGCCAUUCGGACCCGGGUUCGACUCCCGGCAUCUCCAC
Molecule: transfer-messenger RNA, 368 nt
Filed under: uncultured Longimonas sp.
Lineage: Bacteria; Pseudomonadati; Rhodothermota; Rhodothermia; Rhodothermales; Salisaetaceae
Rfam family: transfer-messenger RNA
About the family: Bacterial tmRNA, also known as 10Sa RNA or SsrA, is named for its dual tRNA and mRNA-like properties.
Source: RNAcentral